Peromyscus maniculatus bairdii (prairie deer mouse) is the source of this 1093-nucleotide long non-coding RNA. RefSeq lists it as uncharacterized. The record is from RefSeq and is a predicted model, not a curated record. Lineage: Eukaryota; Metazoa; Chordata; Mammalia; Rodentia; Cricetidae.
GGAAGGCCCCAGAGACCAGGGGCGCCGGUGCAGGGCCUGUCUGCUCCUGCCUAGCAGAGGCGGGAGCACGAUGGCAGCAGCGGGAGGAGCAACGGGCUUGGCUUUGGAGAGAGAAUAAAGAAUCGCGGAGGCGCCUGCCCACCUCCAGUGGCAGUGGCGGCGGCGGCGGCAGCAACAGCGGCGGCAGGCAGUGCAGCUCUUCUUGUCCUCGCUGGGCUGGGGCAAUUUGGGGAACUCCAACAUGGACCUGGGCAUUUUCCAGAAUGAUCAAGAACAGCCAGCUGAGCAGGUACUGAUGAAAAGGCAGUGAAGGUAGGACAUUCAUGCUAUCCCUCUUGUUCCUUAGGUUUACCCAAACCCAGCUUUGCCAGUCCCUACUUAUCUCCAGGAGGAAAAGGAAGGAGCUAGGUGACACCCACCUGUGAUCAGUGAGUGCUUGGUAGCAGCAACCACCCACUAUUCCUUUCAUUCACCUUUAUCCAAACUCACUGCUCCUUGGAAAGCCACUAAAACUACCAGCAGGACUCUGUUGAGGGUACCAGCAACAGCAGAUGCCCCACGAACCCCACAGGGAAUGGUUGUAGAAUGGUGAUUGGACAUGGGCAAGAAGGAACUGAUGGAUUUAAUGAUGGAAGACACCACAAGCCACUUAUUAUACCUGAUGGCUUCUUUUCCACAGUAGGAGACAGAUUCUGAGAUCACAGUCAUGCAUUAUCUGUGCCGAUUUCUGCAGUGCUGGGGAUGGAACCCAGAACUUCAUGCAUGCUAAAAUACUCUGGGAGUGCCAUUCCCUCUACCUGGCCUCUUGAAAGCUUCCUUCUCUCUGAAGAACCAAUUGUUGAAGGCUUUGGAACCACCUAAUAGAAGUGGCAUUUUCUCUAACCCAACAAACUAGUCACUUACUUUCUGUGGCUUGCUAAGACAGAUUUGAAACAGAAGUAGGGUGUCCAGCCCCCUGUGGUCUUCGGCCACCACCAUUGAAUGAAUAUAUGCAGGCAGCUGCCAGGCUAUGCUGUGAUUGGGAACCUGAGUUUUGUAAUGUCUAUAUGCCCUGCAAUGUAACUCAGAAUAAAAACAAUAGCCACCAUGAAAA